GGGCCCGUAGCUCAGCUUGGACAGAGCAGUUCCCUCCUAAGGAAAAGGUCGCGCGUGGCCUUUCUCUUUCAGAGAGAAACCCCAGGGAAAGAGAAAACCUGCGGCCUGCGAGUUCAAAAGUCGGGAAGUCGCGCCGGGCCCG
This 142-nucleotide transfer RNA is filed under the name Microcaldota archaeon. RNAcentral describes it as "tRNA-Arg". Lineage: Archaea; Nanobdellati; Microcaldota. The record is from RNAcentral.